AAUGGGCGAGAGCCUGAACCAGCCAUCCCGCGUGAAGGAAGAAGGCGCUAUGCGUUGUAAACUUCUUUUCCAGGGGAAGAAAACCCCCGACGUGUCGGGGCUUGCCGGUACCUUGGGAAUAAGCAUCGGCUAACUCCGUGCCAGCAGCCGCGGUAAUACGGAGGAUGCGAGCGUUAUCCGGAUUCAUUGGGUUUAAAGGGUGCGUAGGCGGACUAAUAAGUCAGUGGUGAAAACCUGCAGCUUAACUGUAGACGUGCCAUUGAUACUGUUAGUCUUGAGUAUGGUCAAGGUAGGCGGAAUGUGUAAUGUAGCGGUGAAAUGCUUAGAUAUUACACAGAACACCGAUUGCGAAGGCAGCUUGCUGGGCCAUUACUGACGCUGAUGCACGAAAGCGUGGGGAGCGAA
RNAcentral lists this ribosomal RNA (405 nucleotides) under uncultured bacterium. Its description in RNAcentral is "bacterial SSU rRNA". It matches the Rfam family "Bacterial small subunit ribosomal RNA", at positions 370 to 772 of the family's 1533-position model. The record is from RNAcentral.